UUAGAUUCACUUUGAACGUCCUAUUUUUGGUCAAUGGGGGUCGCUUCUUCUUAUCAAACACAUCUAUUUCAUUAUGGUGCAUAUGCAUGGUGUACCCUUUCUCUAGGAGUUGACCAAGACUUAACAGAUUACUCUUCAUCGUUGGAACGUACAACACGUAGUCCAUGUAUGCCACUCCACCAUUUUUGCAAUUGAUCAUCACUCUACCAACUCCUUCU
Molecule: long non-coding RNA, 218 nt
Filed under: Vigna radiata
Lineage: Eukaryota; Viridiplantae; Streptophyta; Magnoliopsida; Fabales; Fabaceae
Description: long non-coding RNA (VRAD_LNC003952)
Source: RNAcentral